CCGUACAAGACUCGAGCUGUGUUACACGCCUUAACGAUAUGGUUCAACUGUCGGUCAGGCCUGGGCCUGGCGCUGGGCCAGACCGCAAUCAAUGGGACACAGAACCUCCCCCUUUCAGAUCAUCACGAAGGCUCAUAUUAUCUCCUUUUCGUCGUGCUGGUUAAAUUUAUGGAGCAGAACCCUGAAGCCGCAUUCCUUGGCCUGGGCCGGCCCACGCGGCCCUCCUUCCCUUUGUUCGGUACUGUAAGCGAGCCGUGCUCUGGAGGACUGCAGGGUUGUUAGUUCAGGCGCUGACUGUUUGCUCAUGACUGAAAUGAAAGAGUUCAGUGGAAGGGCAAAAGGACAGCCCAAGUGUAAAACCCCAUCCCAGCAGGCCCUGGGCCCUACAUAUAGGCCCGGAGCUGUUCCUGAACGUAUGACUGCACUUGGUUCUCACGAAAGCAAAAUCUCCGGUCUGAUCUCUGCUAAACCAUCUCUGAGACGGCAACCGGGUCUUCCUGGGGCGCACCUCCAGGUGAACGUGUGAAUUCGGGGGUACCGUCAGGGCAAGCCUGCCCUCAGAGCAUGAAAAGGAGCCACGGUCCACCGCCAUACGCUCCAGUCUUCCCAGGCCCGCAGGGGACGAGAACGCAAACACUGACUGGUAGCUGGUCUGAGCUUUAAUACUGAUCCAGGAAAAAGUACUCAUUUUCCAGCCCUUGGCUACAAGGCUGGGACGCUCCGAAGGGAGGCAGCAGGGGAUCCGGUGUCCUGUCCUCAAACCGGAGAAGGUCCUGGGUCUGCCCACGAGCUCUCUCCUGGAUCUGGAGUAUCUCCGAUUAGUACACAAAGGGUGGAACAAUCAGCCUGACGGGCAGGCCUUCGCUUCAGUUUUGGAGUUUAAUCCCAGAGGACGCCAUCUGAAUGCAGGCUCUCCAAGGGGUGAGCUGCCAACCCACGGCCCAUCAUGUGAACCAGCAUGGCUGUGAGGGUCCACCUCUAAAUGAGGCUACUGGGAGUCUAGAGUGAUUGCCAGAACCCUUCCAACCAAAGUCUAAGCAUUAAAGAGCAAGGAGUGAGAGGAGCAGAGGGGAAAAACAAAACCCUAAGCCAAAAGUAAACCAAAGACGUGCUGAGAGGACCAGGUAGGAGAGCCUCUGAGGGGGGUCACUGCUGGCUCUAAUUUAGAAGCACUUUCCUGCCAGUUUGGCCUUUUUGGGGGCCAGUGUUAUGCCGUGCUAGCCUAGGCCCAAGCUUGUGACACGGUACUAGACUAGGACUAGCACACUAGCAACAACACGCGCAUCUUGGAUGGAGUCUGGCGAGGCCAGCGGUCUGCUCCAAAUGUGGGCCGCGUUCAAUCCGGAGGUGAAAGUCGUGCCUCCUGAUGGGAACUAACCAUGUGUUUAUUUCUUUUUCUUUCUUUCUUUUUUUUCUUUUUCUUUUUUUUUUUUACCAUGUGUUUAUUUCUGAAUGAACUGUACACACAUUUUUGUGUUUUCCUCAAAGAUUUCCUUGUCCCCUGUGCUGAUGAGAUGAGCCAAUGACUCUGUCACUUGAAAGCCCAAAGCACCUUUUUCUGGGUAGACAGGAGGUGCCAUGGAAUGAAUGGAUCACAGAAAACUGUCUCUAGCUACUGAGAAUCCCUGUUUCUAUGGCACUUCUUCCACUGUAUACUAUUUGUUCUGGGUUUAUUAAAAAAAAAAAAAAGUUACAGAGAACUACUGAAGUCAGGAAAGAGAAAAGGGCAAGAAAAAGUUAGGUAGGCUAAUUUAGGAAAUUCUCAAAAGUAUGUAAUCUAUUCAAUCUGCCUCUAGUUACUCACAUGUGCGUUCGGGGUUCAGUGAAGUCGUUAGUCAUAAGAACGCCUCACCUCUCCCAGGGCAGUGUACAAAGCACCCGCGCACGCCCACAUCAUCGCACAGGUUACAUCGUACUCAGAAACGAAGCCUGUCUCCGCUGGGUGUCCGGGGCCCACAGAAGGUCUUCUGAAGCCUCAUGUGGCCCGUCAGGAGCCCCAAUGCACCAAGAUUCCCUGACAUAUUAACAUGUGGAAAAGCUCACCACUGAGAAUGAGACUCUCUUAUGGGCCAAGAUGGACUUUGAGAGCUUCUACACAGUGAUCUGGAUGCCCCCACUUCCUGGGGGACUUUAUCUCGGGGUCACUUGGAUGACUAUAUUUGGGGACAUACAAUCAACAUAUGAUCAAGCUUUCAUACGUCCUGCCUGGGCUCCUUAUUGGUCCCUGUGCCCAGCUUCCUCCGUGAUGGCGAAGGAGCCCACCCAGUGCCGCUCCUCAGGGAGUUAUUCACCUCAGCUAGGCAGACGUGACCCGGCCAGGAUGCCGCUCACUCCUCGCUCCCUCAGAAGUGGGGAGACUCACCCAAGGAGGGGACAAUAGGCUGCUGGCCCAAAACCACAAGGCAGAGGGACGUCAGGGCUGAAAUCAGGGCUCUGGUCCCACGAUUUAUGACCGUGCCCUCUUGCCAAGAGGCCAUGCUGCCUCCAACACCCAAAGGGAACAUCCAGAUAAGUUAUUUUGAUCGCAGAGACUCAAGUCAAGGAGGAACUGAUCCUACGCUGACACACUGAAAGAAUGUCAACUGCUGUCACUUUGGCACAAUAAAUCCAAUGAUGUUCCACGCCACUCUGUCAGCACCAGCGCUGCAUUUUGGGAAUAACAAUAAAAUCCUGAGAAUCCUAUCCCCAGAUUUAACACAACCACCACAAAAAAGCCUGUGGUAUAUUAGGAUUCAGUAGAAGGUUUUGAAAAAAAAUUUGUUGCCGCACCACUUUGGACGUCUCACACGGUCCCGCGUGAAUUGCCAAGCCGGAGCCACUCCCCUGCGAGCCACCUCCCUCGCCCUGCGACACCCCGAAUCCCCCAGGAGCAGAAGGCAACAGGAGCUACAUUUCCGGGAACAGGACAACUGGGAAGGUGCGCUCCGAAACGAAUUCGGCGAUGAGCACUUAGAACGAGCCCCUCGCCUCUUCCAGAGCCCAGAGAGCCCGUGGCAUCUACAGAAACGAGAGCGAGUUCUUCCUUUUAAGCUCUAGCCCCGCCCCCGAGAGCACUUUGUCGCUUGUUUACCGACCCGGGGACCCAGGGACGGCCUGCACCAGGACCCGCGGGACUCAGGGACAGGCCCGAGGGCGCCGGCGGCCCCACCGGAGGGCCGGACGCUCCCCUCCACAGCCCUCCCUGCACUCGACAGCGGACUGUCGUCGUCUGGAAAACAGAACUGUUUCGGGGAGUGCUGUCCAAACCACGUAAUGCUUUCAAAGCUGUUGACCACAGCGCUGGACGCGCCCGUCAGCUGUCCCAGGCCCCUCACUCCCGGCAGCGGCCCCGCAGGCAGCACAGGCCAACGACUGGAGACACUGGCUACGUAAGGCCCACCCGACAAACCUGGCCCCGGGACAGAUUUCCAUGUCACGGGGCUGCUGGCUGACCUCCGCUCGGCCCCACGGCCGGAUCACUUACAGACGCUAACAAUAGCGCGCGAUCACCUGCUCUUCACACGCGGGUUCAGAGCGAGUUCGUGGCCUCGCACACCUUCGUCAAGGGCUGCUCGUGCCCAAGGCCGCAGGCCCGCGCGGGUUCGCGCCCCACCUGGCCGGGUGCUCGGGGACGGGCGGACGGGCCCACGCGCAGCGCUUGGCCCCAGUGGCGGGGCUGAGAAGACUCUCCCCUCAGGGCCCGCGCGGCCCACGGGGCCCCCAACCCGGCUUCGCGACGUGGGGACCAAGCCGUGUUGCGGGAACCCCUCCCGGCUGCCUGCCAACGCUUGGUUUCUUUUUACACCGGCUACCACAGUGCUACUUCCCAUUUCUUCUCCAGAACUGGGGAAGAUCUGUGAUUUUAUGUUCUUUCCACAUCUCUUUCUAAAACGAGCGCUUCUCUUUGAAGAAAGACCUCUUGCCCUUGGAGUGUCAAGAUAAGAAAACUUUCAGCAACUUCCCUUGGAAACUACAAAACCCCCAUCAGCACCCAGGAUCUAAGUACGCUCGCUCACCAGCUGCCGGCCCCUCUGAAUAGCUUUUAUGGUUCCAGGAGGGGUGGUGACAGGGCCUUGUCACUACCGUGGGGUGUGCUAUUUCUUUCAUGUUCCUGGGAUCUGACAAGAGCCUUCUACAACCUGUUUCUUUACAACACACAGAAUGAGAGAUUAAAGGCCAAGACCAGACUGAAAGCUGGGGUUGGGAGUAGCCACGACUUCUCACCAGAGGCAUUCUAAACCUUCCCGGGAAGGAAGGGCCGCUGGCCGCCCAAGCAGACGCUGCUCAGAAGCAGCCGUGCUGAUUAAAUGAGGUGAUACAUGUAAAGUCCCUACAGCAACGCCUAGAUCACAGCACAGGUCAGAAAGUGGCAGCAAGAACGUUAUUAUUCAAUUUCUCACUACCACCAAGCUUAAAGAAUGCUCUAACAGAAAUAAUGGAGAUGGAUUUUGCUAAAACCACAUUAAUUCAUAGCUACUGGUUGGAUAUGAAGGGGAAAGGACGUCAAGAAAGGAUGAAUGAAUGAGUGAAAAGUCCAAGUUAUAGGGCUCCUGAUUAAAUAUGACAGAUUUAGUCCAGAGACCUCUCUAACGCGAAAGCAAAGGGAUACAGAUGGCACAAAUCCAAAAGGAUAAAGAGAAGGUGUCAACAAUAUUCUAGAAGCUGAAAAGCAGAUGGACACAUGGUGCUGAAAAGUAAGCCUGGGAGUGGGAGCCACAGAGCAAAACCCACCAAAUUUCAGAAACUCGGGCACCAGGCAGCUUGGGCGGCCUGGGCAGAAAGGGAGGAACAGGGAGGCGAGUGUGUCGGGUGGUGAAAACAGUAAGAUGGGCUAAAAGCCUAAAGAGCAGCUAGACCUGCAGCCCGUUCCUCCUCAACACAGGACUGGAGGCCACAGGCCCCCUGUUCUCCCAGCCCGGGAGGGCCCCAGGCCCCGCAAAGGGCUCCGGGCUGCCCACCAGCGCCUCUGCUUUAAAGAGGAGCAGAACGGUCAAGAAACACCCACCUGAGGACUGUCUCUGUUCAUGAAAGAAAAAGGCCAAAACAAACCAAUGGAAGAAAAAAACUCUAGAGAGCAGUCGGGUCAGUCCGGACAGGAGCAGGGGCACCCAGAGGGAGGAACGUGCAAGAAAAAUCCGAACACCGAUAAACUGCUUCAUCAUGCAUUUUUAAGCACACAGAGAAGACUUUGUGGAUAACUUAGUAAUAGGCAGAUAGAAAAAAAACAUUUUCUUAAGGACUUACUACACUUGGAGCAAGAAAAGCUGAAAGUGAGUAAGAGUUUGAGGAUGAAAUGGGAAUAUGCAUGUGGCAAACUAAGCAAACAACAAUAAUCAAAGUUACUAACUCCAAGGAGAAAAAAGAAACCAGAAAGGAAACAUAGUCAUAGUAACCUAGGUAGCUUCCCUGGGAAUGCUGUUGGUAUAGUCAGAAUAACGUAAAAACUGAAUACUGAUUAACCCAAAAAGAACAAUAUACCUAGACUAACAAGAAGGGGAGGGACUAGGAAGUCCAAUGAUAGCAAGAAAUAGCACUUUUUUUUUUUUUUUUUUUUUUUUUUAAGAAACACAAAAGCAAAUACUUCCAAAUCAAAAGUGUUGAAAGUGGUUGUCUCUGGGGGAGCAGAAAUCAGAGGUAGGGAAAAGUGGGGCAGGAGAUUGGUGGUUUUUAUUUUCAGACAUGUAGAAGUCUUUUGAUUUUUAAAAGGGUGGACAUAUAUCUACUUUGACAAAAUACAAUUUAAUUUUAAAAGACCCACAGGGAGUCUGCUUCUCCCUCUGCCUGUGUCUCUGCCUCUGUCUGUCAUGAAUAAAUAAAAUCUUUAGAAAAAAAUUUGUUAUAGUGAGAUAAUCAUGGUCAAAGUCAUAGCUUUUUAAAAUCGUUGUUUUUAUUAAUACAGAAAUUAAAUAAUAGUUAGCAAUAGAAGGUAGAAAGAGCAGAGAUCAUUGAAGAGUUUUGAAAGAGUAGUGACAGACCUGUUCAUAAGGUUGGAAAAACCGCCAAGCCUCCCCAAAAUAGAGCACAACACAAAUGCAAGUUGCGGUUUCCAAGAACAAACAGUAAAUCAAGUCACUAAUAAAGAGGUACUUCAAGGAAGUGAUAGGAAACUUGUUUUAAUAAGCAUGAGACCAAAUUAAAAGUAUUAACAUACAAACAACUUGGUGAUUCUCAAGAAUCUGGAAGAUUCUUCAAAGCAGUUUGUCCUCGAGUAUUUAAAUAUUCUCAGCACUGAAUACCUAGGAUAUGCCCGGAACACAGGAGAAGGCAACACUUCACCAAUUAAUGCAUCUCUGCUGUCAAUCUGCCUAUACUUGAACCAGUGUGUUUACCAAGCAACCGAUCAGAGCAUCUCACGUUUAGAAUCAGCCCAACUGAACUAACGGGGCCCCUCAACAAGUCAAGCAAAAAACAGAGUAAGUCUCAGAGGCUCUCAUCUUUUCACGAGGGAUAUGAACACCCACAUGGUGAUCCGGCCUUUCGCGCCUCCAGAAGUGGGCAGGUGCCAGUCAUUACCAUCCUGCCUGUGCUGCUGCGGUGGAUCUGGGAAGUCUAAAGAACGGAUGAACUUUGCCCUCUGUCCAUCCUGGCCCACGCAGGGAGGUUCCAUCGGAUCCAACUGGUCCGAAGGCCCCAGGAUUCCCGUGGCCCACCCUCCCCACAAAGACAAGCCAAGUUGGGCUCUGAGUCUCCUCUGAAGUUUCCUGCAGUCCCCGGGAUUUCAUGAUGCUGCCUGGGUCACCCCUGGCAUCACCUAUGUUUGAAGUAUGUUUAGGGACAAUCUAGCAGGAGCUGCCUCUGGUGUUAACACAGACCUGCCGCAUAAAACCCGCUUUCCCCCGAGAGUUCAAAGGAGCGCAUCCACAUCCCACGGGCUUGUCCUGCUCCACCAGCCUCGCUGCGGCGGAGCUCAGGUUCUGCUACGUAAACGCCGACCUAGUGCGCACUCCUCCAGGUCCCGACCCAGCUCGGGGCCGAGCCCGCGGGAGCAAGUGGCCUUGGACAGGAUGGACCUUAGGCUUCGGGGUAAGGUGCUCCUCACUCCCCACGCUGCUAAGGUGAGGGACUGAACUGGGUAAAUGAUCGUGAGAGGUCUCCUGGUACGUAACACAAUCUUUCCAAUUGUUACCUCAAGAAACCCAGUAAAAGUCAGGAGCAAACCAGGAGGGCGGACGAGGGCCAGCAGGACACCAAGGUGAAGCGUCCUCUCAUGGGGCUCCCGCUGCUGAAUCCACAUUAGUCCACCGCUGGCGACAGGUGUUACUGGCCAGCGGGGCGACGGAGCAUCAGAGCAUCCCGUCGGGGAAGGAGCCCGGUACGGCGCCUGCUGGCUGGCGCAUACGCGUGGGUGGAAGGAGGUGCGAAGAGUGGCACUGGUUUACAUUUCUGCAAAUCUCCUUAAGUCUUGCUUAAUAGAAAACAGCUGCAUUCUCUUAUCUGCUUCUACAGUCAAUCGCUGUGUGCAGUAUCACACAUUGUGUGGCUUCCAGAAAACUCCACCGUACGUUCAUUAGAGAAUAUUAUUAUAACAAUGGUUAUUUAAAUGUAUAAAAAACAAGUUUGACCUCAUGGAUCCUGGGAAAGGCUGAGGUUCCCUAGGGGUCCUCACACCAUAUUUUGAGAGCCUGUGUUCUAAAAGGACCCACGUGGACAAAUUUUGUGCUCGCUGAGACAUCAGUUUCCUCUACGUAUCUGAGUAAAUCCGCUAAGGACAGAGACGAGGAACGCUGUUAACCCGAUUUGCAUUGAAUUGUAUAAACCCAAUAUAAGAAAAGUUUCCCUUUC
This is a long non-coding RNA of Canis lupus familiaris (dog), 7761 nucleotides long. RefSeq lists it as uncharacterized. The transcript has 2 exons. Lineage: Eukaryota; Metazoa; Chordata; Mammalia; Carnivora; Canidae. The record is from RefSeq and is a predicted model, not a curated record.